GCGGGUAUCGUAUAGUGGUUAUUAUAUGACCUUGCCAAGGUCGAGAGACGGGUUCAAUUCCCGUUACCCGCUCCA
This 75-nucleotide transfer RNA is filed under the name Omnitrophica bacterium GWA2_41_15. Its description in RNAcentral is "tRNA-Gly". It matches the Rfam family "tRNA". Rfam says of the family: Transfer RNA (tRNA) molecules are approximately 80 nucleotides in length. Their secondary structure includes four short double-helical elements and three loops (D, anti-codon, and T loops). Further hydrogen bonds mediate the characteristic L-shaped molecular structure. tRNAs have two regions of fundamental functional importance: the anti-codon, which is responsible for specific mRNA codon recognition, and the 3' end, to which the tRNAs corresponding amino acid is attached (by aminoacyl-tRNA synthetases). tRNAs cope with the degeneracy of the genetic code in two manners: having more than one tRNA (with a specific anti-codon) for a particular amino acid; and 'wobble' base-pairing, i.e. permitting non-standard base-pairing at the 3rd anti-codon position. Lineage: Bacteria; Pseudomonadati; Candidatus Omnitrophota. The record is from RNAcentral.